UACGGGAGGCAGCAGUGGGGAAUAUUGCACAAUGGGCGCAAGCCUGAUGCAGCCAUGCCGCGUGUAUGAAAAAGGCCUUCGGGUUGUAAAGUACUUUCAGUCGUGAGGAAGGUGUUAAGGUUAAUAACCUUAGCAAUUGACGUUAGCGACAGAAGAAGCACCGGCUAACUCCGUGCCAGCAGCCGCGGUAAUACGGAGGGUGCGAGCGUUAAUCGGAAUUACUGGGCGUAAAGGGCACGCAGGCGGUUAAUUAAGUUGGAUGUGAAAUCCCCGGGCUUAACCUGGGAAUGGCAUUCAAGACUGGCUAGCUAGAGUCUUGUAGAGGGGGUAGAAUUCCAUGUGUAGCGGUGAAAUGCGUAGAGAUGUGGAGGAAUACCGGUGGCGAAGGCGGCCCCUGGACAAAGACUGACGCUCAUGUGCGAAAGCGUGGGGAGCAAAC
RNAcentral lists this ribosomal RNA (439 nucleotides) under uncultured bacterium. RNAcentral describes it as "bacterial SSU rRNA". It matches the Rfam family "Bacterial small subunit ribosomal RNA", at positions 340 to 773 of the family's 1533-position model. The record is from RNAcentral.